Molecule: transfer RNA, 73 nt
Filed under: Paramuricea clavata
Lineage: Eukaryota; Metazoa; Cnidaria; Anthozoa; Malacalcyonacea; Plexauridae
Rfam family: tRNA
About the family: Transfer RNA (tRNA) molecules are approximately 80 nucleotides in length. Their secondary structure includes four short double-helical elements and three loops (D, anti-codon, and T loops). Further hydrogen bonds mediate the characteristic L-shaped molecular structure. tRNAs have two regions of fundamental functional importance: the anti-codon, which is responsible for specific mRNA codon recognition, and the 3' end, to which the tRNAs corresponding amino acid is attached (by aminoacyl-tRNA synthetases). tRNAs cope with the degeneracy of the genetic code in two manners: having more than one tRNA (with a specific anti-codon) for a particular amino acid; and 'wobble' base-pairing, i.e. permitting non-standard base-pairing at the 3rd anti-codon position.
Source: Rfam by way of RNAcentral
GACCACGUAGCUCAGUUGGCAGAGCAUUGGGCUAGUAUUCCAAAGGUCGUAGGUUUGAUUCCCACUGUGGCCA